CAAGGUCUCCUCUCCCUUUAAAAUAUGCUGAUUCUAUCUUUGUAUGUUUUCCCAGGAAACUGGAUUUUGAAGUUCCUAAAAUAUUUCUCUAAUAAAAAUCAAAGAGGACUAUUAUAACGAAGAUCUCAGCAUUUUGUCUGAAGGUACAAAGUUUGUCUUAGGCGUGAUAAUCUUGUAUUUCAAGCAAGCAACAAUAAGAAAAGUGUGGUUAAGGAGGUUACUGUACUUUAAAAACAAACAUAUAUGUAAAAUCUCAGCAGAAAGUGGGAUGCGAAAAAGAUUUCAAAGAUAGGUAAGUGAAGGAUAAGGCAAGGAAGUUGAACACCACAACAUAUUUUUCCUGUUGGAAGACCAUCUGCUGAGUUUCUGAACAUGAGAACACAGCGGGAUUUGAAGGAUCUAGAAUAAAUGAAGCGAAAGGAAUGCUGAGAAAUCUUUAGACAGAGCAUUUCCAGACAAAGCGAGAGGAAGUCAUGUGACCUGUCCUUCUGGUCCGACAAGAGUAUGUGGGUAGACUGUUGAGGGUUUUCUGGAUGGAAAGAUGUGAUUUGAGGACCACAGAGAGCCUCACGGCAAGGGGCUGAGGAAGAUGUUGGGGAAUGCAGGAGUCUGAGCACCAUGGAGCCACACGGGUGCACAGAGUGUGUCCUACAUCACACAGGAUGAAGCAGCAGAAUUCUAAGUGAAUGAAAUAUGGAACAUGAGACUUUUGCGAUCUCCGUGUCAUUUGCUUCUUCUGUUCCUUCCCACACAUGAAGACAAUGAGGCUCCCAGAAGUUGGGGACUUUACAAAGCAAGGUCUCCGGUGACUUGUCUCAUGGAAGCAGCCACUUCAUGGGGCUUUCUGUCUUGGUGCGAGUAGAGAAUGACCUAGAUGAUCUCCAAGGUCCUGUUGUUGCUGACAGUAUCAGAUGAUUGGAGGUAAGAAAACAGAGGCAGUUUUCCCUCUUACAUCAGAGAGACUAGAUCCUCUAACGCGGUUGUCUGUGUUUUAAGAUUGGAAGAUUAAAAAGUUGAUCUUUUAGAAGUUGAGAGUACAGCGAUGGUUACCAGAAACCAAGGAGAGUACAGAGAAGGGAGAAAUGAGAAGUUGAUCAAUAGGUACUAAGUUACAGUUACAUAAGAAUAAGAAGUUCUGGUGUGCUAUCACAUAUAAUAAGUAUGGCUAUAACUAAAAAUGUACUGGAUAUUCUAAAAAGCUAGGAGAAACUAUUUAAUUUUUU
RNAcentral lists this long non-coding RNA (1223 nucleotides) under Fukomys damarensis (Damara mole-rat). RNAcentral describes it as "lncRNA (ENSFDAG00000027536.1)". Lineage: Eukaryota; Metazoa; Chordata; Mammalia; Rodentia; Bathyergidae. The record is from RNAcentral.